Molecule: ribosomal RNA, 1907 nt
Filed under: Vibrio cholerae
Lineage: Bacteria; Pseudomonadati; Pseudomonadota; Gammaproteobacteria; Vibrionales; Vibrionaceae
Description: partial 23S ribosomal RNA
Rfam family: Bacterial large subunit ribosomal RNA
Source: RNAcentral
GCUAAGUGGGAAACGAUGUGGGAAGGCUCAGACAGCUAGGAUGUUGGCUUAGAAGCAGCCAUCAUUUAAAGAAAGCGUAAUAGCUCACUAGUCGAGUCGGCCUGCGCGGAAGAUGUAACGGGGCUAAGCAAUACACCGAAGCUGCGGCAAUGUCUUUUAGACAUUGGGUAGGGGAGCGUUCUGUAAGCCGUUGAAGGUGAAUCGUAAGGUUUGCUGGAGGUAUCAGAAGUGCGAAUGCUGACAUGAGUAACGACAAAGGGGGUGAAAAACCUCCUCGCCGGAAGACCAAGGGUUCCUGUCCAACGUUAAUCGGGGCAGGGUGAGUCGACCCCUAAGGUGAGGCCGAAAGGCGUAAUCGAUGGGAAACGGGUUAAUAUUCCCGUACUUCUGACUAUUGCGAUGGGGGGACGGAGAAGGCUAGGUGGGCCAGGCGACGGUUGUCCUGGUUCAAGUGCGUAGGCUUGAGAGUUAGGUAAAUCCGGCUCUCUCUAAGGCUGAGACACGACGUCGAGCUACUACGGUAGUGAAGUCAUUGAUGCCAUGCUUCCAGGAAAAGCCUCUAAGCUUCAGAUAGUCAGGAAUCGUACCCCAAACCGACACAGGUGGUCGGGUAGAGAAUACCAAGGCGCUUGAGAGAACUCGGGUGAAGGAACUAGGCAAAAUGGUACCGUAACUUCGGGAGAAGGUACGCUCUUGAUGGUGAAGUCCCUCGCGGAUGGAGCUGACGAGAGUCGCAGAUACCAGGUGGCUGCAACUGUUUAUUAAAAACACAGCACUGUGCAAAAUCGCAAGAUGACGUAUACGGUGUGACGCCUGCCCGGUGCCGGAAGGUUAAUUGAUGGGGUUAGCGCAAGCGAAGCUCUUGAUCGAAGCCCCGGUAAACGGCGGCCGUAACUAUAACGGUCCUAAGGUAGCGAAAUUCCUUGUCGGGUAAGUUCCGACCUGCACGAAUGGCGUAAUGAUGGCCACGCUGUCUCCACCCGAGACUCAGUGAAAUUGAAAUCGCUGUGAAGAUGCAGUGUACCCGCGGCUAGACGGAAAGACCCCGUGAACCUUUACUACAGCUUGGCACUGAACAUUGAACCUACAUGUGUAGGAUAGGUGGGAGGCUAUGAAGACGUGACGCCAGUUGCGUUGGAGCCGUCCUUGAAAUACCACCCUUGUAUGUUUGAUGUUCUAACUUAGACCCAUUAUCUGGGUUGAGGACAGUGCCUGGUGGGUAGUUUGACUGGGGCGGUCUCCUCCCAAAGAGUAACGGAGGAGCACGAAGGUGGGCUAAUCACGGUUGGACAUCGUGAGGUUAGUGCAAUGGCAUAAGCCCGCUUAACUGCGAGAAUGACGGUUCGAGCAGGUGCGAAAGCAGGUCAUAGUGAUCCGGUGGUUCUGUAUGGAAGGGCCAUCGCUCAACGGAUAAAAGGUACUCCGGGGAUAACAGGCUGAUACCGCCCAAGAGUUCAUAUCGACGGCGGUGUUUGGCACCUCGAUGUCGGCUCAUCACAUCCUGGGGCUGAAGUCGGUCCCAAGGGUAUGGCUGUUCGCCAUUUAAAGUGGUACGCGAGCUGGGUUUAGAACGUCGUGAGACAGUUCGGUCCCUAUCUGCCGUGGGCGUUGGAAGAUUGAAGGGGGCUGCUCCUAGUACGAGAGGACCGGAGUGGACGAACCUCUGGUGUUCGGGUUGUGUCGCCAGACGCAUUGCCCGGUAGCUAAGUUCGGAAUUGAUAAGCGCUGAAAGCAUCUAAGCGCGAAGCGAGCCCUGAGAUGAGUCUUCCCUGACAGUUUAACUGUCCUAAAGGGUUGUUCGAGACUAGAACGUUGAUAGGCAGGGUGUGUAAGCGUUGUGAGGCGUUGAGCUAACCUGUACUAAUUGCCCGUGAGGCUUAACCAUACAACACCCAAGGGGUUUUGUA